Lolium perenne is the source of this 1302-nucleotide long non-coding RNA. RefSeq lists it as uncharacterized. The record is from RefSeq and is a predicted model, not a curated record. Lineage: Eukaryota; Viridiplantae; Streptophyta; Magnoliopsida; Poales; Poaceae.
CACGGCUUGAGAUUGGUUUGGAACAUUCCAUACUGAAUCAAAAAUCCGUGGGCCUGCCGCCUGCACCAAUAUGUCUGUAGGCUAGAUUUUGAAAUACCAGGAAUUUCUCCAUGAUUACUCAAUUAUAUCUAUACGUUCUAGGUCUUAACGGAUUACAAAUCAGCAAGACGUCUAGAUACAGUUUGCACUUAGGCGUUAUUUUUUUCAGUGUUAGACUUGCAGAAUCUGAUAGUUUUUUUAACAUAAAACUAUCUGUUAAAUUCAUCUGGAUUUUGUUUUAUGUAAUCUUAUAUUGUGCCCUCAUAACGGUAUAUGAUUUUCAGUAGUGGGCAUAUGGUAAACGGCCUGGCAAGCAAUAUACAAAGUUAACACCAAAUAGGCUGGUCAGAAAAGGAAAUAAUAUCGGAAUAUGAAGUUUCUUCUUACCUAAAAUAUGGAAUUGCGGACGUUUAUAUAUUGCUUAAAGGACGUAUGAAGUGGGAUGGAUAUAAAGUCUGUUGUUUCCCUGUCCACAACAUCACAGUCGACAUUGCUACAAUCAACCAUUUGCAAUUGCGGAACAAUGUAAUAAUUUAAUUAUACCUUUUGCUGGAUUACCUAUUUAAGUGCGUUCUAAUUGGAGGGAAAUAGCAAAGCUGAAGGAACAUAUAAGAAGGCUUGAAGAUAUGAAUAACAAUUUAGCCUAUGGGAAUUAAAUACAAGAAGAGAGAAUCCAAUGCACUGGACCUGUUGAAGCACGCUCGUCUAUGCAACAUGGCAUGUGCGAGGAUAAUAAUUUAGUGCUUUCAAGCGAAAAGGUUAUGGUUAUUUUUAUAUGUCAUAAAUAUAUACUAUUAAAUAGUUUCUUUCUUAAGAUUGCUAUGCCACCGAACCAGGAUUGCAAGCAUGAUAAUGUCGAUCAGUUACUGAUUCAAUAAAAUUCAUCAUCGCCAGAUGAUUUUGUGCCAGAGGUGAGGGAAAUGAGAGAUCAGAGCGAUGAAUCGGUUGCAAGACUAUACCAGGAGGGCACUAGAAAUAAGUGCGGACACUCAAUUUCCUCAAAAAUACGAUGUACUUCUUCACUUAUGAUGCGAAUGAAGGAUUGAGUUGCGACUGAAUUCUCUAGUUCAAUCAAGAAGCAAAUAAUUUUUGAAUAUUUUGCUUAGAAGUAGUUAUAGUUUACACUGAUAGAUUGAAAAUGUAAUAUUAUUUCAGAGGAUAUUUUUUCUUUGAUCGAAUUGAUGCAAAUGCUAUGGUGUAAUAUUCUUCAGAAUUGAGUUUUCUACUCAAUUUGAUAUGAAUGUUAAGGUGUUGUACCAAUAA